Molecule: non-coding RNA, 73 nt
Organism: Ictidomys tridecemlineatus (thirteen-lined ground squirrel)
Lineage: Eukaryota; Metazoa; Chordata; Mammalia; Rodentia; Sciuridae
Source: Rfam
GGGGAUAUAGCUCAGUUGGUAGAGUGCUUGCGUCCUAUGCACAAGGCCCUGGGUUCAAUCCCCAGCACUACCA